Molecule: ribosomal RNA, 464 nt
Filed under: uncultured bacterium
Lineage: Bacteria
Description: partial 16S ribosomal RNA
Rfam family: Bacterial small subunit ribosomal RNA
Source: RNAcentral
GACGAACGCUGGCGGCGUGCUUAACACAUGCAAGUCGAACGGAAAGGCCCUGCUUGCAGGGUACUCGAGUGGCGAACGGGUGAGUAACACGUGGGUGAUCUGCCCUGCACUUCGGGAUAAGCCUGGGAAACUGUGUCUAAUACCGGAUAGGAGCCAUUCUUAGUGUGAUGGUUGGAUAGUUUUUUCGGUGUAGGAUGAGCUCGCGGCCUAUCAGCUUGUUGGUGGGGUAAUGGCCUACCAAGGCGGCGACGGGUAGCCGGCCUGAGAGGGUGGACGGCCACAUUGGGACUGAGAUACGGCCCAGACUCCUACGGGAGGCAGCAGUGGGGAAUAUUGCACAAUGGGCGGAAGCCUGAUGCAGCGACGCCGCGUGGGGGAUGACGGCCUUCGGGUUGUAAACUCCUUUCGCUAGGGACGAAGCGUUUGUGACGGUACCUAGAAAAGAAGCACCGGCUAACUACGUG